GGAAACGAUAGCUAAUACCGCAUAAUCUCUUGUCUUUUACGAGAUGGGAGCAAAGCGGGGGACCUUCGGGCCUCGCGCGCUGAGAUUAGCCCAGGUGGGAUUAGCUAGUUGGUGGGGUAAUGGCUCACCAAGGCGACGAUCCCUAGCUGGUCUGAGAGGAUGAUCAGCCACACUGGAACUGAGACACGGUCCAGACUCCUACGGGAGGCAGCAGUGGGGAAUAUUGCACAAUGGGGGAAACCCUGAUGCAGCCAUGCCGCGUGUAUGAAGAAGGCCUUCGGGUUGUAAAGUACUUUCAGUUGUGAGGAAGGCGUUG
RNAcentral lists this non-coding RNA (316 nucleotides) under Photobacterium iliopiscarium. RNAcentral describes it as "bacterial SSU rRNA". It matches the Rfam family "Bacterial small subunit ribosomal RNA", at positions 152 to 456 of the family's 1533-position model. The record is from RNAcentral. Lineage: Bacteria; Pseudomonadati; Pseudomonadota; Gammaproteobacteria; Vibrionales; Vibrionaceae.